CACCCCCACCCCCACCUCCGAUUCCGAUCUCCCCCGCCUCGCUAACAUCAAAAUCAAAUCCUCUUCCCCCCGUUUCCCACCUCCCACCACCCCUUCCACCACCGAUACCCCCACCGCUGGUGCUCAACGCAAGAUCGGCAUCGCCGUCGAUCUAAGCGACGAGUCCGCUUUCGCCGUUAAGUGGGCCGUCCAUCAGUACCUCCGUCCAGGUGACGCCGUCAUCCUUCUCCACGUCCGUCCCACUUCCGUCCUCUACGGCGCCGAUUGGGGCUCCGUUGAUCUCUCCAUCGUCGAUACCGAAAACGAAGAGUCUCAGCGAAAACUCGAGGAUGAUUUCGACACGUUUACUACUACUAAAGUCUCGGACAUAUCUCAGCCGUUAGUUGAUGCU
This 391-nucleotide long non-coding RNA is filed under the name Nicotiana tabacum (common tobacco). RNAcentral describes it as "long non-coding RNA (NTAB_LNC007605)". Lineage: Eukaryota; Viridiplantae; Streptophyta; Magnoliopsida; Solanales; Solanaceae. The record is from RNAcentral.